Molecule: ribosomal RNA, 644 nt
Filed under: uncultured Basidiomycota
Lineage: Eukaryota; Fungi; Basidiomycota
Description: LSU rRNA
Rfam family: Eukaryotic large subunit ribosomal RNA
Source: RNAcentral
CCUCAAAUCAGGUAGGACUACCCGCUGAACUUAAGCAUAUCAAUAAGCGGAGGAAAAGAAACUAACAAGGAUUCCCCUAGUAACGGCGAGUGAAGCGGGAAAAGCUCAAAUUUGAAAUCUGGCAUCCUUCGGGUGUCCGAGUUGUAAUCUAGAGAAGUGUUUUCUGUGCCGGACUGUAUUCAAGUUCCUUGGAAUAGGAUAUCAAAGAGGGUGAGAAUCCCGUGCUUAAUACAAUCCCCAGUGCUCUGUGAUACACUUUCAAAGAGUCGAGUUGUUUGGGAAUGCAGCUCUAAAUGGGUGGUAAAUUCCAUCUAAAGCUAAAUAUUGGCGAGAGACCGAUAGCGAACAAGUACCGUGAGGGAAAGAUGAAAAGCACUUUGGAAAGAGAGUUAAACAGUACGUGAAAUUGUUGAAAGGGAAACGAUUGAAGUCAGUCGUAUUGGAAAAGUUCAAUUAGCUUCUGCUAAUGCAUUCUUUUCUAAUGGGUCAACAUCAGUUUGAACAGGUGGAUAAGGGUGGUAGGAAAGUAGCUCUGAGUGUUAUAGCCUACUACCGUAUACACUUGUUUAGACUGAGGAACGCAGCUUGCCUCCUUAUGGGGGAUGGGGUUCGUCCCACAUUCAAGCUUAGGAUGUUGACAUAAU